AUGGGGCUCAAAUCACCUAUUCAGGGCAAACACCUACCACUGGACUACACUACCCACAACCCCCUGCUGUCUGUCAGGACUCGGGACCACACUACCCACAACCCCCUGCUGUCUGUCAGGACUCUGGACCACACUACCCACAACCCCCUGCUUUCUGUCAGGGCUACACUACCCACAACCCCCGCUUUCAGUCAGGACUCUGGACUACACUACCCACAACCCCCUGCUGUCUAUCAGGACUCGGGACCACACUACCCACAACCCCCUGCUGUCUGUCAGGACUCUGGACCACACUACCCACAACCCCCUGCUUUCUGUCAGGACUCUGGACCACACUACCCACAACCCCCUGCUUUCUGUCAGGGCUACACUACCCACAACCCCCCGCUUUCAGUCAGGACUCUGGACUACACUACCCACAACCCCCUGCUGUCUAUCAGUACUCUGGACUACACUACCCACAACCCCCUGCUGUCUGUCAGGACUCUGGACUACACUGCCCACAACCCCCUGCUUUCUGUCAGGACGCUGGACUACACUACCCACAACCCCCGGCUGUCGGUCAAGACUACACCACCCACAACCCCCUGCUGCCUGUCAGGACUACACUACCCACAACCCCCUGCUGUCUGUCAGGACUACACUACCCACAACCCCCUGCUGUCUGUCUGUCAGGACUGGACUACACUGCCCACAACCCCCUGCUGUCUGUCAGGACUACACUGCCCACAACCCCCUGCUGUCUGUCGGUAUUCUGGACUACACUACCCACAACCCCCUGCUGUCUGUCUGUCAGGACUGGACUACACUACCCACAACCCCCUGCUGUAUGUCUGUCAGGGAUGGACUACACUACCCACAACACCCUGCUGUCUGUCUGUCAGGACUGGACUACACUACCCACAACCCCCUGCUGUCUGUCUGUCAGGACUGGACUACACUACCCACAACCCCCUGCUGUCUGUCUGUCAGGGCUGGACUACGCUAACCAGAGUUCCUUGGCUCACAGACCAACCUCUAGCCUGGAAGUCAAAGGUGAUACUGUCGGGUCGUCAUGGGUACCGAUGUCCUGGGUGUGGUCGUCAUGGUUACAGACUUGGUCCAGUGGGUUUAGGACAUAUCAGGGUCUAA
This 1131-nucleotide long non-coding RNA is filed under the name Salmo trutta (river trout). RNAcentral describes it as "lncRNA (ENSSTUG00000042762.1)". Lineage: Eukaryota; Metazoa; Chordata; Actinopteri; Salmoniformes; Salmonidae. The record is from RNAcentral.